Molecule: long non-coding RNA, 439 nt
Organism: Girardinichthys multiradiatus
Lineage: Eukaryota; Metazoa; Chordata; Actinopteri; Cyprinodontiformes; Goodeidae
Exons: 2
Source: RefSeq, a predicted model, not a curated record
UGGUAACAAGCUCAGCCAACACUUUGUUCUUCGUUUCCAAGUAACUUUGUUUAUGCUCCUUUGCAGGCUGAAAACCUGAACUCUGGAUUUACUUCGCUAAUCACUGACUUCGUGUCCGGAAGUUUGUGGAUGAACAAGAUUACCUACGUUCUGAGGACUUUGUCUCCUAACAACUGUUUCCAUCUGGAUUCAGACCAAGCUGGCAGUUUCCUGCUUCCUCUGUUUCCUGGACCUAGACUUAAGUGUACCCUGUCCACCCUCCAACGCAAGUAUCUGCACAUUGAACUCUCCUGAAAUCAAGCUCAAACAGCACCAAAGAAAUCAUCUGAACUAUGUGUUUCGACAACCUGGACCCCAAAUCCCUCCACCCCUGGCGACCUGACCGCACCCACUUGUUGAAGAUUGUUGGCACAAUAAAAACAUCAUUUCACUAAAUCUA